Molecule: ribosomal RNA, 447 nt
Filed under: uncultured bacterium
Lineage: Bacteria
Description: bacterial SSU rRNA
Rfam family: Bacterial small subunit ribosomal RNA
Source: RNAcentral
GGGCUUGCGUCCGAUUAGCUCGUUGGUGGGGUAACGGCCUACCAAGGCUGAGAUCGGUAGCUGGUCUGAGAGGAUGAUCAGCCACACUGGGACUGAGACACGGCCCAGACUCCUACGGGAGGCAGCAGCAGGGAAUAUUGCGCAAUGGGCGAAAGCCUGACGCAGCAACGCCGCGUGGGGGAAGAAGGCCUUCGGGUUGUAAACCCCUUUUCUCGGGGAAGUGACGGUACCCGAGGAAUAAGCCUCGGCUAACUACGUGCCAGCAGCCGCGGUAAGACGUAGGAGGCGAGCGUUAUCCGGAUUUACUGGGCGUAAGGGGCGUGUAGGCGGCUCUUUAAGUCUGUGGUGAAAUCUCCCGGCUCAACCGGGAGGGUGUCAUAGAAACUGGGGAGCUUGAGGGCAGCAGAGGGAGGUGGAAUUCCCGGUGUAGUGGUGAUAUGCGUAGAU